RNAcentral lists this ribosomal RNA (253 nucleotides) under uncultured bacterium. RNAcentral describes it as "partial 16S ribosomal RNA". It matches the Rfam family "Bacterial small subunit ribosomal RNA", at positions 524 to 776 of the family's 1533-position model. The record is from RNAcentral.
UACAGGGGGUGCAAACGUUGCUCGGAAUUAUUGGGCGUAAAGCGCGCGUAGGCGGCUACUUAAGUCAGAUGUGAAAGCCCUUGGCUCAACUGAGGAAGUGCACCCGAAACUGAGUGGCUAGAGUACGAAAGAGGGUCGCGGAAUUCCCGGUGUAGAGGUGAAAUUCGUAGAUAUCGGGAGGAACACCGGUGGCGAAGGCGGCGACCUGGGUCGAUACUGACGCUGAUGCGCGAAAGCGUGGGGAGCAAACAGG